AUGAACGCUGGCGGCGCGCCUAAUACAUGCAAGUCGAGCGAACGGACGAGAAGCUUGCUUCUCUGAUGUUAGCGGCGGACGGGUGAGUAACACGUGGAUAACCUACCUAUAAGACUGGGAUAACUUCGGGAAACCGUAGCUAAUACCGGAUAAUAUUUUGAACCGCAUGGUUCAAAAGUGAAAGACGGUCUUGCUGUCACUUAUAGAUGGAUCCGCGCUGCAUUAGCUAGUUGGUAAGGUAACGGCUUACCAAGGCAACGAUGCAUAGCCGACCUGAGAGGGUGAUCGGCCACACUGGAACUGAGACACGGUCCAGACUCCUACGGGAGGCAGCAGUAGGGAAUCUUCCGCAAUGGGCGAAAGCCUGACGGAGCAACGCCGCGUGAGUGAUGAAGGUCUUCGGAUCGUAAAACUCUGUUAUUAGGGAAGAACAUAUGUGUAAGUAACUGUGCACAUCUUGACGGUACCUAAUCAGAAAGCCACGGCUAACUACGUG
Molecule: ribosomal RNA, 496 nt
Filed under: uncultured bacterium
Lineage: Bacteria
Description: partial 16S ribosomal RNA
Rfam family: Bacterial small subunit ribosomal RNA
Source: RNAcentral